Spodoptera frugiperda (fall armyworm) is the source of this 649-nucleotide long non-coding RNA. RefSeq lists it as uncharacterized. The record is from RefSeq and is a predicted model, not a curated record. NCBI's taxonomy places the organism in Eukaryota, Metazoa, Arthropoda, Insecta, Lepidoptera, Noctuidae. The transcript has 2 exons.
UUGUUUAAUAGACCUUAUUAAAAUAUUUGGAAAUCACCUGAAAAGGUAACUUUAUACAAGUAUUCUUAAUAUAACCUCAUGUCAACGUCUUGGCCUUAUGCAUUGUUCCUUUGAUCAAAAGAUUGUACUUGACCAGAAUAAUGUCAACAAAACUCUUUCGUGUAUUCAGUUUUAAAUAAAGAAUAAAAAAUAAAACUAAAAAACGCUGUCAGCGAUCGUUUUUUGCCAGUUGAAUUUUUCAGUCAUACCGUAUACACUCAUUACCUAAAACCGCAUAAAAAUUAUAAAACAGUUUCCCCUUUCGAAUAAAAACAAAUAAAAUAUAUAUUUUAUAAGUGAAUUAUAAUAUUUAAAAUUAGUGAAGAUGGAUUGUGCUUUCUGCAACCGUACGAUGGAGGGCUGCGCGUCCAUAAAGUGCAGUCUUUGUGCGUCGCAGUACCACUUGGAGUGCGUGAGCAGUGAGCACCUGGUGCCGAGCACGAACACCUGGCGGUGCUGCCGCUGCGAGUCUCUCAACUCCGCCGCCACACAGCCCAAGAUCGACACUGCCGUCCGCGUGUAGAAUGUAACUUUGUUGUAACUGGUAAAUUGAUUGUGAACUUCCCACCAAGGCAUAUUUGGAAAUAAAUGUAUUUUGCUUUACAGUGAA